GAUGAACGCUGGCGGCGUGCUUAACACAUGCAAGUCGAACGAAGCACUUUACUUGAUCUCCUUCGGGAUUGAUUGUUCUGUGACUGAGUGGCGGACGGGUGAGUAACGCGUGGAUAACCUGCCUCACACAGGGGGAUAACAGUUGGAAACGGCUGCUAAUACCGCAUAAGCGCACAGCACCGCAUGGUGCAGUGUGAAAAACUCCGGUGGUGUGAGAUGGAUCCGCGUCUGAUUAGCUGGUUGGCGGGGUAACGGCCCACCAAGGCGACGAUCAGUAGCCGGCCUGAGAGGGCGACCGGCCACAUUGGGACUGAGACACGGCCCAGACUCCUACGGGAGGCAGCAGUGGGGAAUAUUGCACAAUGGGGGAAACCCUGAUGCAGCGACGCCGCGUGAGCUGAUGAAGUAUUUCGGUAUGUAAAGCUCUAUCAGCAGGGAAGAUAAUGACG
RNAcentral lists this ribosomal RNA (449 nucleotides) under uncultured bacterium. Its description in RNAcentral is "bacterial SSU rRNA". It matches the Rfam family "Bacterial small subunit ribosomal RNA", at positions 28 to 456 of the family's 1533-position model. The record is from RNAcentral.